This 492-nucleotide ribosomal RNA is filed under the name uncultured bacterium. RNAcentral describes it as "partial 16S ribosomal RNA". It matches the Rfam family "Bacterial small subunit ribosomal RNA", at positions 29 to 507 of the family's 1533-position model. The record is from RNAcentral.
AGUGAACGCUGGCGGCAGGCCUAACACAUGCAAGUCGAACGGCAGCACAGUAAGAGCUUGCUCUUACGGGUGGCGAGUGGCGGACGGGUGAGGUAUACAUCGGAAUCUACUUUUUCGUGGGGGCUAACGUAGGGAAACUUACGCUAAUACCGCAUACGACCUACGGGUGAAAGCAGGGGAUCUUCGGACCUUGCGCGAUUGAAUGAGCCGAUGUCGGACUAGCUAGUUGGCGGGGUAAACGCACACCAAGGCGACGAUCCGUAGCUGGUCUGAGAGGAUGAUCAGCCACACUGGAACUGAGACACGGUCCAUACUCCUACGGGAGGCAGCAGUGGGGAAUAUUGGACAAUGGGCGCAAGCCUGAUCCAGCCAUACCGCGUGGGUGAAGAAGGCCUUCGGGUUGUAAAGCCCUUUUGUUGGGAAAGAAAAGCAGCAGGUUAAUACCCCGCUGUUCUGACGGUACCCAAAGAAUAAGCACCGGCUAACUUCGUG